GGGGGUGUAGCUCAGUUGGUUAGAGCGCCAGCCUGUCACGCUGGAGGCCGCGGGUUCGAGUCCCGUCACCCUCG
RNAcentral lists this transfer RNA (74 nucleotides) under Planctomycetota bacterium. RNAcentral describes it as "tRNA-Asp". It matches the Rfam family "tRNA". Rfam says of the family: Transfer RNA (tRNA) molecules are approximately 80 nucleotides in length. The record is from RNAcentral. RNAcentral also lists the same sequence under 4 other names. Lineage: Bacteria; Pseudomonadati; Planctomycetota.